AGAGUUUGAUUCUGGCUCAGGAUGAACGCUAGCUACAGGCUUAACACAUGCAAGUCGAGGGGCAGCAUGGGAUUAGCUUGCUAAUCCUGAUGGCGACCGGCGCACGGGUGAGUAACGCGUAUCCAACCUUCCCCCUGCUCAGGGAUAGCCCGGUGAAAACCGGAUUAAUACCUGAUGGUUUCAUUUGACGGCAUCAGAUGAUGAAUAAAGAAAUUCGGCAAGGGAUGGGGAUGCGUCUGAUUAGCUUGUUGGCGGGGUAACGGCCCACCAAGGCGACGAUCAGUAGGGGUUCUGAGAGGAAGGUCCCCCCACAUUGGAACUGAGACACGGUCCAAACUCCUACGGGAGGCAGCAGUGAGGAAUAUUGGUCAAUGGGCGCGAGCCUGAACCAGCCAAGUAGCGUGCAGGAAGACGGCCCUAUGGGUUGUAAACUGCUUUUGUGCGGGAAUAAAGUCAGGGAUGUGUCCCUGUUUGCAUGUACCGCAAGAAUAAGGACCGGCUAAUUCCGUGCCAGCCGCCGC
RNAcentral lists this ribosomal RNA (521 nucleotides) under uncultured bacterium. Its description in RNAcentral is "bacterial SSU rRNA". It matches the Rfam family "Bacterial small subunit ribosomal RNA", at positions 8 to 518 of the family's 1533-position model. The record is from RNAcentral.